RNAcentral lists this ribosomal RNA (253 nucleotides) under uncultured bacterium. Its description in RNAcentral is "partial 16S ribosomal RNA". It matches the Rfam family "Bacterial small subunit ribosomal RNA", at positions 524 to 776 of the family's 1533-position model. The record is from RNAcentral.
UACGUAGGGUGCAAGCGUUGUCCGGAAUUAUUGGGCGUAAAGAGCUCGUAGGCGGUUUGUCGCGUCGGAUGUGAAAACCUGGGGCUCAACCCCGGGCCUGCAGCCGAUACGGGCAAACUAGAAUUCGGUAGGGGAGACUGGAAUUCCUGGUGUAGCGGUGAAAUGCGUUGAGAUCGGAAGGAACGCCCGUGGCGAAAGCGAGGUCCUGGACGUUUACUGACGCUGAGACGCGAAAGCCAGGGGAGCGAACGGG